UACGUAGGGUGCGAGCGUUGUCCGGAAUUAUUGGGCGUAAAGAGCUCGUAGGCGGUUUGUCGCGUCGACUGUGAAAACCUGGGGCUUAACUCUGGGCCUGCAGUUGAUACGGGCAGACUUGAGUUCGGUAGGGGAGACUGGAAUUCCUGGUGUAGCGGUGAAAUGCGCAGAUAUCAGGAGGAACACCGGUGGCGAAGGCGGUUCUCUGGGAAUGGCCUGACGCUGAGGAGCGAAAGUGUGGGGAGCGAACAGG
This 253-nucleotide ribosomal RNA is filed under the name uncultured bacterium. Its description in RNAcentral is "partial 16S ribosomal RNA". It matches the Rfam family "Bacterial small subunit ribosomal RNA", at positions 524 to 776 of the family's 1533-position model. The record is from RNAcentral.